Molecule: ribosomal RNA, 462 nt
Filed under: Streptococcus mitis
Lineage: Bacteria; Bacillati; Bacillota; Bacilli; Lactobacillales; Streptococcaceae
Description: bacterial SSU rRNA
Rfam family: Bacterial small subunit ribosomal RNA
Source: RNAcentral
GACGAACGCUGGCGGCGUGCCUAAUACAUGCAAGUAGAACGCUGAAGGAGGAGCUUGCUUCUCUGGAUGAGUUGCGAACGCGUGAGUAACGCGUAGGUAACCUGCCUGGUAGCGGGGGAUAACUAUUGGAAACGAUAGCUAAUACCGCAUAAUAGUAGAUGUUGCAUGACAUUUGCUUAAAAGGUGCAAUUGCAUCACUACCAGAUGGACCUGCGUUGUAUUAGCUAGUUGGUGAGGUAACGGCUCACCAAGGCAACGAUACAUAGCCGACCUGAGAGGGUGAUCGGCCACACUGGGACUGAGACACGGCCCAGACUCCUACGGGAGGCAGCAGUAGGGAAUCUUCGGCAAUGGGGGGAACCCUGACCGAGCAACGCCGCGUGAGUGAAGAAGGUUUUCGGAUCGUAAAGCUCUGUUGUAAGAGAAGAACGAGUGUGAGAGUGGAAAGUUCACACUGUGACG